RNAcentral lists this ribosomal RNA (449 nucleotides) under uncultured bacterium. RNAcentral's name for it is "partial 16S ribosomal RNA". It matches the Rfam family "Bacterial small subunit ribosomal RNA", at positions 29 to 523 of the family's 1533-position model. The record is from RNAcentral.
AAUGAACGCUGGCGGCAUGCCUAACACAUGCAAGUCGAACGAGACCUUCGGGUCUAGUGGCGCACGGGUGCGUAACGCGUGGGAAUCUGCCCUUGGGUUCGGAAUAACUCGCCGAAAGGCGUGCUAAUACCGGAUGAUGACGUAAGUCCAAAGAUUUAUCGCCCAAGGAUGAGCCCGCGUAGGAUUAGCUAGUUGGUGGGGUAAAGGCCCACCAAGGCGACGAUCCUUAGCUGGUCUGAGAGGAUGAUCAGCCACACUGGGACUGAGACACGGCCCAGACUCCUACGGGAGGCAGCAGUGGGGAAUAUUGGACAAUGGGCGAAAGCCUGAUCCAGCAAUGCCGCGUGAGUGAUGAAGGCCUUAGGGUUGUAAAGCUCUUUUACCCGGGAUGAUAAUGACAGUACCGGGAGAAUAAGCCCCGGCUAACUCCGUGCCAGCCGCCGCCGUAA